CGCGUAGGUGGUUUGGUAAGCGAGAUGUGAAAGCCCCGGGCUUAACCUGGGAACGGUAUUUCGAACUGUCAGACUAGAGUGUGGUAGAGGGUAGUGGAAUUUCCUGUGUAGCGGUGAAAUGCGUAGAUAUAGGAAGGAACACCAGUGGCGAAGGCGGCUACCUGGACCAACACUGACACUGAGGUGCGAAAGCGUGGGGAGCAAACA
RNAcentral lists this ribosomal RNA (207 nucleotides) under uncultured bacterium. RNAcentral's name for it is "partial 16S ribosomal RNA". It matches the Rfam family "Bacterial small subunit ribosomal RNA", at positions 568 to 774 of the family's 1533-position model. The record is from RNAcentral.